This 117-nucleotide transfer RNA is filed under the name Klebsiella pneumoniae. RNAcentral describes it as "tRNA-Xxx". Lineage: Bacteria; Pseudomonadati; Pseudomonadota; Gammaproteobacteria; Enterobacterales; Enterobacteriaceae. The record is from RNAcentral. RNAcentral also lists the same sequence under 1 other name.
UUGGCAAACAGUGGCAAUCUAUGUCAAUGAUAAAUAAAGCAAAGUAUUGAUUUUCGGUUGUUACUGUAGGAACUCAUAAUCGCUUGGUCGUUGGUUCAAACCCAACAGGGGCCACCA